GAUGAACGCUGGCGGCGUGCCUAAUACAUGCAAGUCGAGCGAACAGACGAGGAGCUUGCUCCUCUGACGUUAGCGGCGGACGGGUGAGUAACACGUGGAUAACCUACCUAUAAGACUGGGAUAACUUCGGGAAACCGGAGCUAAUACCGGAUAAUAUAUUGAACCGCAUGGUUCAAUAGUGAAAGACGGUUUUGCUGUCACUUAUAGAUGGAUCCGCGCCGCAUUAGCUAGUUGGUAAGGUAACGGCUUACCAAGGCAACGAUGCGUAGCCGACCUGAGAGGGUGAUCGGCCACACUGGAACUGAGACACGGUCCAGACUCCUACGGGAGGCAGCAGUAGGGAAUCUUCCGCAAUGGGCGAAAGUCUGACGGAGCAACGCCGCGUGAGUGAUGAAGGUCUUCGGAUCGUAAAACUCUGCUAUUAGGGAAGAACAAAUGUGUAAGUAACUAUGCACGUCUUGACGGUACCUAAUCAGAAAGCCACGGCUAACUACGUG
This 497-nucleotide ribosomal RNA is filed under the name uncultured bacterium. Its description in RNAcentral is "partial 16S ribosomal RNA". It matches the Rfam family "Bacterial small subunit ribosomal RNA", at positions 28 to 507 of the family's 1533-position model. The record is from RNAcentral.